GUGGGGAAUAUUGGACAAUGGGCGAAAGCCUGAUCCAGCCAUGCCGCGUGUGUGAAGAAGGUCUUCGGAUUGUAAAGCACUUUAAGUUGGGAGGAAGGGCAGUAAGUUAAUACCUUGCUGUUUUGACGUUACCGACAGAAUAAGCACCGGCUAACUUCGUGCCAGCAGCCGCGGUAAUACGAAGGGUGCAAGCGUUAAUCGGAAUUACUGGGCGUAAAGCGCGCGUAGGUGGUUCAGCAAGUUGGAGGUGAAAUCCCCGGGCUCAACCUGGGAACUGCCUCCAAAACUACUGAGCUAGAGUACGGUAGAGGGUAGUGGAAUUUCCUGUGUAGCGGUGAAAUGCGUAGAUAUAGGAAGGAACACCAGUGGCGAAGGCGACUACCUGGACUGAUACUGACACUGAGGUGCGAAAGCGUGGGGAGCAAACAGGAUUAGAAACCCUGGUAGUCC
This 450-nucleotide ribosomal RNA is filed under the name uncultured bacterium. Its description in RNAcentral is "bacterial SSU rRNA". It matches the Rfam family "Bacterial small subunit ribosomal RNA", at positions 354 to 796 of the family's 1533-position model. The record is from RNAcentral.